Piliocolobus tephrosceles (Ugandan red Colobus) is the source of this 1446-nucleotide RNA transcript. It is a transcript of the gene named calcineurin B homologous protein 1 pseudogene, with no coding region annotated. The transcript has a single exon. The record is from RefSeq and is a predicted model, not a curated record. Lineage: Eukaryota; Metazoa; Chordata; Mammalia; Primates; Cercopithecidae.
GGCUGGAACUCAAAUGCUGACAUCGACUCCUGAGCCAGGCGCUGCCUCGCGCCUGAUUGGCGGGUCCUCGGGGCCGCCCUCCUCAGCGCACCACCCCUGGGUUCCCUCCCGGGUCCGCAGUGGAAACACUGCCCUCUCCCUUCUUGACCCCUAGCCCGCCCUUCCCUGCCUCCUUCCCUCCUGUCGCCCUCUCUUCUGGCGCCGCUGCUCCCGGAGGAGCUCCCGGCACGGCGAUGGGUUCUCGGGCCUCCACGUUACUGCGGGACGAAGAGCUCGAGGAGAUCAAGAAGGAGACCGGCUUUUCCCACAGUCAAAUCACUCGCCUCUACAGCCGGUUCACCAGCCUGGACAAAGGAGAGAACGGGACUCUCAGCCGGGAAGAUUUCCAGAGGAUUCCAGAACUUGCCAUCAACCCAUUGGGGGACCGGAUCAUCAAUGCCUUCUUUCCAGAGGGAGAGGACCAGGUAAACUUCCGUGGAUUCAUGCGAACUUUGGCUCAUUUCCGCCCCAUUGAGGAUAAUGAAAAGAGCAAAGAUGUGAAUGGAUCCGAACCUCUCAACAGCCGAAGCAACAAACUGCACUUUGCUUUUCGACUGUAUGAUUUGGAUAAAGAUGAAAAGAUCUCCCCUGAUGAGCUGUUACAGGUGCUACGCAUGAUGGUCGGAGUAAAUAUCUCAGAUGAGCAGCUGGGCAGCAUCGCAGACAGGACCAUUCAGGAGGCUGAUCAGGAUGGGGACAGUGCCAUAUCUUUCACAGAAUUUGUUAAGGUUUUGGAGAAGGUGGAUGUAGAACAGAAAAUGAGCAUCCGAUUUCUUCACUAAAGGAGACCAAACUGUUCCUUGUGGUCUAGUAUUUAAGAACUGGAACUUGAAAGUCCUCCUUCCACCAACUCCACCUCCACCCCCUCAUUCCCCUUCUCCCAAAGUACUACUGCUGUUGCAUGACAACCCCAAAUAUGUUCUGUCAACACAAACCUGCCUUUGGUGUAUAAACAGGGCAUUACAGAAUGGUACACCCUAUCUAUUUCUGUUCAGUAUCCAUUCACUAGUUCUUCAUUUCUAAAUAUCUUCCCUAUUCUGCCGCUGAAUGCCACACAUCCAUCCAGUCUGAGAAAGUGAGAGAGGCAAUCAUGCCAAGAACAAGCCAGCAAAGCUCUUUCACCAGGUGUAGAAUGUAGCCCUGCUGCCUUCCCUCCAGUGAGUCUGCCAGCAUGCUUUAUCCUUUUUAUAUGUUCUUUGCUUCCUACUUCUGUGUCAUCCAACAUACUGUUCACUUACUCUGGCAGUCUUUCUGCCUUUCAUUAAGCCUCAAAAUCUCCUCUGUUCUACUUGGCACCACAAGCUAUGCCCUAUAUAUGUAUUUCUGACUUGGCAGGAUAGUUCAGGGGUCUGGCAGUUUUUAUUUACCUUCAUUAUUAAAUGGGCCUCUGGGAUAUUGCCUCUCCAG